Molecule: ribosomal RNA, 418 nt
Filed under: Deltaproteobacteria bacterium
Lineage: Bacteria; Pseudomonadati; Myxococcota; Myxococcia
Description: bacterial SSU rRNA
Rfam family: Bacterial small subunit ribosomal RNA
Source: RNAcentral
UUAAACUGAAGAGUUUGAUCCUGGCUCAGAACGAACGCUGGCGGCGUGCUUAACACAUGCAAGUCGUACGAGAAAGCUUACUUCGGUGAGCGAGUAAAGUGGCGCACGGGUGAGUAACACGUGGGUAACCUACCCUCCGAACUGGGAUAACAUCUCGAAAGAGGUGCUAAUACCGGAUACGUCCUUUUUUCCUUCGGGAGAAAAGGGGAAAGAUGGCCUCUGCUUGCAUGCUAUCAUCGGUGGAUGGGCCCGCGGGCCAUUAGCUUGUUGGUAGGGUAACGGCCUACCAAGGCUGCGAUGGCUAGCUGGUCUGAGAGGAUGAUCAGCCACACUGGAACUGGAACACGGUCCAGACUCCUACGGGAGGCAGCAGUGGGGAAUAUUGCGCAAUGGGGGAAACCCUGACGCAGCAACGCCG